RNAcentral lists this ribosomal RNA (437 nucleotides) under uncultured Oscillospiraceae bacterium. Its description in RNAcentral is "partial 16S ribosomal RNA". It matches the Rfam family "Bacterial small subunit ribosomal RNA", at positions 341 to 792 of the family's 1533-position model. Lineage: Bacteria; Bacillati; Bacillota; Clostridia; Eubacteriales; Oscillospiraceae. The record is from RNAcentral.
ACGGGAGGCAGCAGUGGGGGAUAUUGCACAAUGGGGGAAACCCUGAUGCAGCAAUGCCGCGUGAGGGAAGAAGGUCUUCGGAUUGUAAACCUAAGUAGUCAGGGAUGAAGAAAGUGACAUUACCUGAAGAGUAAGCUCCGGCUAACUACGUGCCAGCAGCCGCGGUAAUACGUAGGGAGCGAGCGUUGUCCGGAUUUACUGGGUGUAAAGGGUGCGUAGGCGGGCUUGCAAGUCAGGCGUGAAAUACCGGGGCUUAACUCCGGGGCUGCGCUUGAAACUGUAAGUCUUGAGUGAAGUAGAGGCAGGCGGAAUUCCCAGUGUAGCGGUGAAAUGCGUAGAUAUUGGGAGGAACACCAGUGGCGAAGGCGGCCUGCUGGGCUUUAACUGACGCUGAGGCACGAAAGUAUGGGGAGCAAACAGGAUUAGAUACCCUGGUA